ACAAACAGUAAUGAGAAAAAAUAUCACAAUGAUUCCUAUGUAAAGUUUUUUGUAAAAUAUAUUCAAAAAAGCAUAAAUAAUUAGCAAAUUUAAGUAUGUAAAACAAAUAAUGAGCACAUAUCCUUUCUCUCUAGUUUAAUUGAGAGUUAAGAGUUAACAUAGCAACACUCUACUUAGUUUAUGAUAAAGAACUCAUAACUUAUGCUUUUACCUUCGCGGAAUCACAUCUCCCAUCUUUUCCAUGAGUCAUCCGUUUCCAUGAGUCAUCCGUUGCUGCCCUUGUAAAAUAUAAGAUAAAAUAGGAUAAUUUUUUUAUUAGAGAAUGCAAAUGAUAUUAUCAUUAAUUAGGAAUAAGCGCAACAUAAAAUUGAAUUGAUACAACAUAAAAACAAAUAGGAAACACUACACAAAGUGAAUGCAAAAAUCAUAAAAUAUAUAAAUUAUUAGCCAAAUA
This 454-nucleotide long non-coding RNA is filed under the name Erythranthe guttata (spotted monkey flower). RNAcentral describes it as "long non-coding RNA (EGUT_LNC001766)". Lineage: Eukaryota; Viridiplantae; Streptophyta; Magnoliopsida; Lamiales; Phrymaceae. The record is from RNAcentral.